UACGUAGGGGGCAAGCGUUGUCCGGAUUUAUUGGGCGUAAAGAGCUCGUAGGUGGUUUGGUAAGUCGGAUGUGAAAUCUCCAGGCUCAACCUGGAGGGGUCAUUCGAUACUGCCAUGACUAGAGGUCGGUAGGGGAGUGUGGAAUUCCUGGUGGAGCGGUGAAAUGCGCAGAUAUCAGGAGGAACACCGAUGGCGAAGGCAGCCCCCUGGGCUAACACUGACGCUCAGGCACGAAAGCGUGGGGAGCAAACAGG
Molecule: ribosomal RNA, 254 nt
Filed under: uncultured bacterium
Lineage: Bacteria
Description: partial 16S ribosomal RNA
Rfam family: Bacterial small subunit ribosomal RNA
Source: RNAcentral